UACGUAGGGUGCAAGCGUUGUCCGGAAUUAUUGGGCGUAAAGAGCUCGUAGGCGGUCCGUCACGUCGGCUGUGAAAACCCGGGGCUCAACCCCGGGCCUGCAGUCGAUACGGGCGGACUAGAGUUCGGCAGGGGAGACUGGAAUUCCUGGUGUAGCGGUGAAAUGCGCAGAUAUCAGGAGGAACACCGGUGGCGAAGGCGGGUUGCUGGGCUGACACUGACGCUGAGGCGCGAAAGCUAGGGGAGCGAACGGG
This 253-nucleotide ribosomal RNA is filed under the name uncultured bacterium. RNAcentral describes it as "partial 16S ribosomal RNA". It matches the Rfam family "Bacterial small subunit ribosomal RNA", at positions 524 to 776 of the family's 1533-position model. The record is from RNAcentral.